AUGAUCUUCAAGUGUUCGGGAUUUGAUAUGUCAAGUUAAUUAUCUACCAGCACGAGUAACCUGAGCAACAGAUAGACGGGACUAUAUAUUUGUUUUAAAAGGGCCCUGUAGGUCACAUCUGUGCAACCUCUGUUUCACACCAAAAGCUGUUUUAAUAAUUUUGGAAGUUAAGGAUCGUCUGGCAGGAACAUUUUGACCAUUUUCUUUCUAGGAUGUUGAAAUUGGAGAGUGUGGAAAAUGUCAGAAUAUUUUGGCAGCAUUUGAGCCUUCAAUAUGAAUGACAAAGUUACUGUGCUGGAAACUGGAAGCACUGCCGAAGUCUGGAGUUCAGACAGCAAAGCCUUUUAAGAUGCUGAAGUCAAUGGCUUCCUGUUGAAAUCCAGUAUGGUCUGAAUCACUUGUUUAUUCCACUGCCAAUGUCGGAAACCAUGCCAGUCCGACAUCAUUCAGGUUGUUCUCUCAUCUAUCCGUAAUACCCUUGUGGGCAAUGUAGCAAUGGUGACCGAAGGUUUGGAUGUAAUUUCAGUGCUCCGUGUUCUGCCUGUGCUGCGGGUAUCAGAGGUUAUGGGGAGAAGGCAGGAGAAAGGGGUUAGGAGGGAGAGGUAGAUCAGCCAUGAUUGAAUGGCGGAGUAGACUCGAUGGGCCGAAUGGCCUAAUUCCACUCCGGUUACAUGAGCUUAUGACUUAUUCCUCUGCUGUCUGGCCCGCUGAGUUACCCCCGUUGCAAGUUUCCUGCAUCUGCAGUUCCUUGUGUCUUCAUCAAUGAUCCUGUGCUGUUGGCUAAUUGCAACCAGAUCAGCUGUACUGUUACAGAUGGGAUCAAAAGGGAUCCUACGCAAAUGCUAUUUAGACCAUUUGCCAUUUUCCACAAUUGAAAGAGGUGAUUGUUUUUAACAUUAUGAGUGUAAAAUAAAUCUCUCACUUUAAGAUGUUGAAUAAAAUGAACACCAAUUGGUGUUUACGGGGGAACU
Molecule: long non-coding RNA, 971 nt
Organism: Amblyraja radiata (thorny skate)
Lineage: Eukaryota; Metazoa; Chordata; Chondrichthyes; Rajiformes; Rajidae
Exons: 2
Source: RefSeq, a predicted model, not a curated record